GAAAGUUAUCUUUGCAAAUGCAACUCUGCUUUUUUGGCCACCAGAUAAAGUGUACAUGGGCUGAAGAGCAAGAUUUCCGGUUAUACCAAAUGAACCUAGAUGACCACGUAAUUUUUGUUCAGGCACUCCUGGAAAGCAACGCAUCAUGUAUAAGAGGGGAUUUGAGGACAGAUCCAGCCCAUCAACAUGAUGCUGACUAAAUACAGCAAUACGGACCUUAGCAGAGCGGAAAACAGUCCCUGAGGUUGGUUGAAGCUCCCCAGAAAUAAGCUUAAGUAUUGUUGACUUUCCAAUACCAUUAGGACCAACCACUGGAAAAUACAUAAGGUGAGACAAGGUCCAUGAUAUGUAAAACAGUAAAAAUGAUUAAAAAACAAUUAUAAAAAUACACAUGCCAAAACCACAUACUACCUAACUCACAAAUAAAGAGAUCUAAUUUUACUUCCCA
RNAcentral lists this unclassified non-coding RNA (448 nucleotides) under Hevea brasiliensis (rubber tree). Lineage: Eukaryota; Viridiplantae; Streptophyta; Magnoliopsida; Malpighiales; Euphorbiaceae. The record is from RNAcentral.